RNAcentral lists this long non-coding RNA (7029 nucleotides) under Capsella rubella. RNAcentral describes it as "long non-coding RNA (CRUB_LNC001553)". The record is from RNAcentral. Lineage: Eukaryota; Viridiplantae; Streptophyta; Magnoliopsida; Brassicales; Brassicaceae.
AACUCCUAUCAUCACUUGAGGUCUUCAACAAUGUCUCUGGCCAUAAAACUCUUCCUCAUUCUCCUUUUAGUUGAAUCAUCAACUGCAUUGUAUAGAGUUGAUUUCAAUGAAAAUCCAAAAAGUUAUCUCGAUCAACCUGAGGUUGACUAUAUCAGGAUUUUGAGAGAGACCGUUCGAGGAUGGCAAGGAGAAGCGGACAAAAAAUACGGUUUAUACUCAUCGACCGAUUACAUGAAGCGAUCAUUGUUCCUACAAGACAAAGUUCGAAGAUAUGUUGAACUUUGGGGAGAGUGGAAGAAUCAUAAAGGCUAUCCAUUCCAUGACUUGAGGAAGAUCAAAAGUUACUUGUGGACGAUACAGUAUGAUACUUGUCGUCAAGCUGAGGGUACAGAUCUUUUGACAUAUCUUAUAUAUGGUCUUAGUGCAGAAACUGAUAUGGUUUAAUUUGUUUGUGUUUUUUUUAGAGUUUUUUUUUUUUUUUUUCAGUUUGUUUAUGUCUAUCUAGGGUUUUUAGUUUGAUACGUUCUUGUUUGGGACUUUUUUAUUUUUCUAUAGAAUUUUUGUUUUGAAUUCAUCUUUUUAAGAUAAUCUUUACGAUCAUCUAUACCAUAUAGUGGAAACUUUGAUGAAUACACAAACACAAGUUACACCAUCAAAGACCGUAAGAAGAAAAAAAACAUUCUUUUAAAAGUCAAUAAAGAAAAUUAGGUAUAUGAAUUGAACUUAAAAUCUUGUUUAAUCUGGCUGGUCAUGACAAGUGAUGAAUUGUGUACCAUCUAAGAGCCUAAAAUCAAAAAGAAGCAAUGCUAACAAAACCCAUGAAAUGUUUCGGUCUUUGUUGGAGCUCCGACAUAAAAUAUACUAGGAAGAGUUUCCUAUACGCAAAACCAAACGUUUGGCUCCUUUGCCUUAAUACUGAAAACACUAAAUGACGACGUAGGCCAUUUUUUAGGGUAGGCUUGUUUGUUCGCUUAGCUCUUUUUUGUUUUCUUCGGUGUUUUUAGAGUUUUCUUUUCCAGUUUUUGUUCAUGUCUAAGAUUUUAUACGUUCUUGUUUGGGACUUUUUAUUUUCCUAUAUAUAGAACUUUUGUUUUGGAUUCAAACUUUACUAUAAUCCUUUCGAAAAAGCUAGCUACACACAUGACAUGAUCAAUACAUAAACACAAGUGCACCAAAAAAGACAGAAAUAAACAAACAUACUUUUAAAAGUGAAUAAAGCAAAACAUAUGUCUCCUUCAUCUCCGCCAUGUCAUUAUCAGAUCUUGCUUCUUUGUAACAAACUCAGAGAUCGAGUUGAGAGAGAAGACGAAACAAAGAAGAAGAUUGAAGUAAACUUCUCAUUAACUCAAUAAAUUGUACAGUAUAGUUUCAUAUAGUUUCUACAUAGAGGGCGAAAUUUGCAAGCAUAUCUCAAAAUUUACUUCUGUGAGAUCGGCAGAAGGUUAAUUAGUGUGCCAAUUAUCGUUUUAUUUUUUUCUUACUACUAUAAACAACUCAUUGAUUUAUGUUUUGCAGAUGUCACCAUACAUGUGUCUAACAUUAACGAUUUGAUGAAAGAGGAGGCCAGACACUUGCGUGAGAUGAUAGAUGCUUUACACAAAGAACAUACGAAGCAGAUUCAUGCAUACAUAAGCUGCCAUUUGACAGAUCAAUCCAAAUUUAAACACAUCAAAGGUUAUAUAUUGGAUGGUUCUAGACAACGUGAGAUAUUAGCUGUUGUUGUUUUUAUAAGUGUAACAUCUUUUCCAUUUUGAACGCUGAAACAAGGAUGUAAAAAAUUAUGUUAAUUAGCAGGUUAACAUCUCACAAUUGGUUUUCUUUGUUUGUUAAAGGUGAAUAGGAGGUGAUUGGCUCAAAUUUUACCCUGAGCUACACUCUCAAUUAGGAUUAUAAGAAUCCGAGUUUUUUUUCUCUUUCGAAUGAUUCUAGAGUUUUUUUUUGCUAUUUGGGUUUUUCGUGUAUAGUUUGACCGGGCCUGUUUGAGAUGUUUUGAAUUUUUAUUAUUAAUAAAUGAUAUUAAUAAAAAUAUGACCUCACAAUUUAUCUGAUGAAAACCAAAAAAAAAAUUCUCCAUGAAAAACCUUAUAUGUUUAUUUUUUGUAUUAAACAUCCAAAAACAAAAAAGCAAAGGUAAAAUAAUAAUAAUCAACUAAACAAAAACGUACCCUAGAGAAUCCCUAUAUUAGUAAAAGAGAAGUACAAAAAGUGUUUCCGGGUCGGGUCAAUUUAAGAAAAUUACCCGAAAUUUGUAAUUGGAUCUUUUAAAGUUGGAUAGAUUAAUGGUUUUGGAUACAUACACCGGAUACUUUCCAAAUCUAAUUUUAGGAUUGUAUUAUUUCCAUAACUAAUUAUAGGAUUUACUAAUAUUUCUCUAACUAAUUUAAUACAAUCUAUUUAAAAAAUAGUAUUCUUCUUUCACUUUUAUUUGAUAUUAUUUAUAAUUUAUGAUAUUAUACUAUAUAAUAUAAAAAUUUAAUAAAAAUUUAAUUUUUUUUUUUGCAUAUGUUGCAAUUUGAAUUUUUCAAAACGGACAUAUAAUACUCAACUACACUCGAUUAAAUAUUUUGGACAAUGGUUUAAAAUCAUUAUAAGUAUAACCAAUAUUAAAACCAUUGUUACUUGAGCAUAUUUAAAAUUUCAAAUAGUUUCAAGAUAUCAUAAGUAAAAGGUUCAAAUAUAUAAAAAUUUUAGAAUUUAAAAUAUUGAAAUAUUUUUUUGAAGACAUAAAUGUAAUUUUGGAGACAUAAUUUUGAUUGAUAAAAUAUAUUAUAUAUCAAACUAUGUAAAUUUUAGAUAGUUCACGGGUAGUUUGUUAAAAUCACAAUUAUAAUGAUAAAGCCAGUUACAAAUAAUGUUUUUUACGAAAUGAAUUAUGUUACGGGUUGGACCUUCAAAAAAUAUAUUGUAAACAUGUAAUUUUUACGUAUAUUCCUACUUUUACUACAAAAAUAGUUAAAAUGAAUAGUUUAUCGACAAAUAUUAUUUCGUGCUGUUAAAUUUUCACCGUGUUUUUAAUUGUAUCAAAACUCAGUAUAUGAAUAUUUACUCGAUUUUUCGUUUAUUAUUUUAUUUAAACUUAUUAUACAAAUAUAUGAUUUACUGUAAUCGAUUGUACUGUAAUAAAAUUAAAAUAUAACAUAUUAGAAUCCGUUAAAAGUUAUAUAUGUAAUUAUUUCCCCCGCGCUGUAGCGCGGGUCCGAACCUAGUUAAUUAGAAAAAUAACAAUCACUCAAGCCAUCGAAGAAUGUGUUUACGACGACUCAGGCCAUGUAACAUAUAGGUCAAGAGAUUCAUAGCUUCAAUUUCAGGACAAGAAUCAUCAUCUUGGGUUGGCCACAACACACCUAUCUUGUCCCCCAAGUCACGGUAUGGCUUGUAGUUGGUCCACUGACGAACAUAAGCUUGAGCCUUGUCUUGUAUAUAAAAAGAUCUGUUGGCAUAAGUUUGAUCUCUGUUUUGUCUGAAAGAGAAGCCGUCAUAGUUCUCAAAAUCUGGCCUGAAAGGGUAUUUCUCAGUUGCUUCACGUUGCCAUCCUUCAAUCAUCUCUUUGAACAAACUUGAAUAGUCGACGAUGUUCACAUCUUGAUCAUCAGGUUGGCUUACAUAUUUUGCAAUGGAAGAUUCAAUCAAUAAGAACAAGAUGAAGAGUUUGAAUAUGGAGAGAGACAUUAUUAUGAUUGCACACAAAAAAAUUGUGUAUUUCUCUGAUCAAUAUCGUGUUAUUUAUAAUCGAGUUAAAAUUAUAGUUUUUCUUAUGAUUGGAGUUAUAUAUAUAAGCCUAAACUAAUUUUGUUUAUUUAUUUUCUUUUUAUUUUUUCAAACAAACCUUUACUAAGAUAAUAGCACAACAAUACUAAUUAAAUUAUUUUAUUGUUAUUUUCUAAGUAAUUAUCAUUGUUAUUUCUAAGUAACUAGAAUUGAACCCGCGGUACACCGCGGGUCUUUGUUUUUAUAAAUCCUUUUGGGAAAUCCUAUUUUUUCUUAUAUGUUUUGUUUUAUUGGAUAUGUAUCUCGUAUUGGAUAUAUAUAUCUUAUAUAUAUGUUUUUGGGAAAUAUUUGUUUUAUCAAAUUGUUUUAAGUAGUCGAUGUUAUGUAUGUACGUUUCGUAAGGUGUUUUGUGUGUAAAUUCAAAACUGAUUAGUUUUAUUCAUUGUUAUUAUGAAUUAUAUUUAUCUAUUUCACAAUUUACAUCACUCUUAUAAGUGUGUGUCGUAUUGUAAUGGGUUGGACCUGCGCUACACCACUAACAACAGCAUAGCAAAUAUUUUUAUUAUUAUUAUUAUUUAUGUAGUUUACAACUUAAAAUGUACUAUUUUCAGUUAAAAUUUAUUGAUUAAUAUAUUAUUUUAGAUUUUUUUUUUGUUUGAUACAGUAGUAUAGAGAUAUGUGGAAGUUAGUGUAUUUUUGUUUGUUUGAUGUAUACACAAAAAAAUAUUCUAUUUGAAUUUAUCAGAUAAAAUUAUUAGUUUAAGAGUAAGAACAUGAACUAUGAUUACAUAAUUCAUAAUAUAUGAUAAUUUAAUAUUUUUAAUGUUGGAUUAAAAGCUCACCCUAUAGAAUUUGUGGGUCUAUAAAAUAUGUCCUCCUCCGACCCGCUUGAGUUCAUAGGACAUGCAUAGAUUUUUACUAUAAAUUGAUUUUUCUAGUUUUAUUUUAAUGUUAUCAUUUUCUAGUUUGUAAAUUAAAUUCUAUCUUAAGUGUCUAAUUUACAUUUUUACUUUUUAAAGUCAUUUUUAAAACUAUAUAUUUUAAAUAUAUGAGUUUAAUGAUUUUUGUUGUUGUGGUGAUAUUUUUUUUACGUGCAAUUUAAUUUAUAUUAUGUUAAAUAUGAUUAAUCUAAGUUAAUAGGUGUAAUAGUAAAAAAAUGUACCUAAUCAUAUGACAAACCGAGAGUCUUGUCAAAGAGAUUGGUAAGAAUAUUUAAACCAAAUCAACUUCUGUUUUAAAUGCUAACAUACAGAUGUCUUGACAUCGAGGUAAUUCAUCUUACCAAAAUUUUAACUUUUUUUGAACGCAUCUAUUAAUUUUGGUAAAAUCUAGUUCUUAAUUCAUAGAAAUCCUUCUUGUUUCUUAUAGAGUUACUUAAAAUAAUUAAUUCUUUUUUAAUCAGAUUCAAUUGAUAAGAGAACGAAUACAAUAGAGAUUUUGUUAUUGUAUACUAAAUUUAUUUUUUUAUGAUGCAAGGAGCUAGAGAUGUAAUGGUUAGCUCUUAACCUUUAUGAAGUUUAACGAAACAAACUUUACAAUCGAUAAUUUUCUAACAUAAUUAAGAACAUCAAACUCCUCAGAACCUUAUUUAUUUCUAUUUCCUUCCAUUUUGUACCUCGUACUGAGAACGCAAAGGCUGAUGCAUUAGCAAAAGCGGAUCUUCUGUUUUUGAGAUUUGAUACUCUGUUUCUGUUUACAAAAAAUAAAAUAAAAAGAAUUAAAAAAAAAUAAAAUUUGACAUAAGAUUUUUAGUUUUUAUAACGGAAGUACCCUAUCAUUCGUCAAAAUAGGAUUCAGAUUAAUACAUAUUCUUGUGUUAGUUAAAUAGCUUGAAAUAGUUCAAUGAACAGAAAAUACAUUAAUCUUUCUAAUAACUUUUGAUAAUAUUAUCAUGGGUUUAAGAAUAGCUUUACCUCAAUCAUCUCAAAAACUGAUUAAAUUGUCUUCUUGGGGGAAAUGGAGAUAGUAAUCCUGCUUCUUUUAGUAUUGAUGAGUUUAAAAAAGUUUACAAAGUGAUAUUUAACCCGUCGGACACACUGUGAUUGUACCUGUAAAAAGACUUGUGAGUAUUUAGAAUAAAAAAAUCAUUCUAUUAUUUCUAUAAACUCAUCUCACCAAAACUUGUUGUGUAUGCUUUUCAGGUUUUGCAGGACUGCACUUGUCUUGUAGGGUAUCACGUCUGUAAUGAACUAAAAAGAAUAUGAAAAAAUGAGGUAAUAGCUCGAUGAUUGAAGGGAUCGAUUGUAGGUAGAGUGAUAUUUAUAGAUAAUAAGAAUAUUAAGGCUGCUCAUUUUUGGAAUAUGAUCAUAAGUACAGAUUAGUGGUAUGCAAAUAAUCAGUACAUUAAUUUGGGCGAAAUUGAUGUGAUUGAUAAAAAAUUAUUGAUUUACGAAAUUGAUAUUUAAGAUGGUCAUAAAUGUAUGAAUAUUAGUAUUUCAUAAAACUAACAAAACACAAAAGCGUAUGAUGGGUUGAAACUUUUCUGUACUGAAUUGAACUUACUAUUGAUUUUAGUGGGCCUUAUAAACUUAAUAAAUAUUUUCAUGGGUUUUUAAUGUCCAUUAAUAUAUUUGACAUAACAAAACUCUGUGUUCAGGACUCCGGGUCAAUAAACGAAGGAGAAGAUCCAAUGAUUUUCUUGGGCGGGCGUCUAAAGCACGCGGAUCCUAGACUGGUUUUUUUUGUUUCUUUUUCUUUUGCCAAAAUUACCCCUGAUCGAUUUCAAUAAUGUGUCUCCAAAUUGAAAUCAAUUUCAAUGAUUUAAAGGUUAAAUUUGACAAAUUUUCAAUUUGUACUUCUCUUUUAAUUAUAAGAAGAUUAUUCGUAGUAAAAAGAUAUCAUUUGUCGGAUAUAUAUAUAUAGUUCUACUACAAUUUUUGUUUUUUUUGUUAUAUUUUUUUCCUGUUAAAAAGCUAAACUUUAGCUCUAAAAAAACACAAUCGAUUGUUUCUAACGAUAAACAUUAAAAUUAGAAGAUAAACAAAAUUAAUUAAGGAAUUUAAUUAGUCUCAAAAGUUACAAACCCUAAUCCCAAUUGGAAAAAGAAGUCGAGAAACUUGUAUUCAUAUAAUAAAGUAUAUAUAAACCUUAACUCCUAUCAUCACUUGAUGUCUUCAACAAUGGCUAGACUCUAGCCGUAAAACUCUUACUCAUUCUCCUUUUAGUUGAAUCAUCAAUUGCAUUAUAUGUAUUUGAUCCCAAUGAAAAUCCAAAAAGUUAUCUCCAAUUCUCCAUCAACCUGAGGUUGACUAUAUCUGAAUUUUGAGAGAGACCGUUCGAGGAUGGCAAGAAGAAGCGGACAGAAAAUACGGUGUAUACUCA